RNAcentral lists this transfer RNA (64 nucleotides) under Gromphadorhina grandidieri. RNAcentral's name for it is "tRNA-Cys". The record is from RNAcentral. Lineage: Eukaryota; Metazoa; Arthropoda; Insecta; Blattodea; Blaberidae.
AGUCUUAUAUUCAUUUGAUGAUAAUAGAAUGCAAUUCUGUAGGAGUAGUAAUCUACUAAGGCUU